UUGACGUGAUGCGGAGUGAAGUUUAGUAUUGAAGUCCGUGAGCUGUGCGUCAAGAAAAGCCGCUAUUGUUCAUACCAUACCCGUACCGUAAACCGACACAGGUGGAUGAGGAGAGGAUCCUAAGGCCGGCGGAAGAAGCAUUGUCAAGGAACUCGGCAAAAUGACCCCGUAACUUCGGGAGAAGGGGUGCCUGCGAGAGCAGGCCGCAGAGAAUAGGCUCAAGCAACUGUUUAGCAAAAACACAGGUCUAUGCGAAACCGAAAGGUGAGGUAUAUGGGCUGACGCCUGCCCGGUGCUGGAAGGUUAAGAGGAGAGGUUAGCGCAAGCGAAGCUUUGAAUUUAAGCCCCAGUAAACGGCGGCCGUAACGAUAACGGUCCUAAGGUAGCGAAAUUCCUUGUCGGGUAAGUUCCGACCCGCACGAAAGGCGUAAUGAUUUGAGCGCUGUCUCGACAAUGCAUCCGGUGAAAUUGAAGUACCAGUGAAGAUGCUGGUUACCUGCGCCAGGACGGAAAGACCCCAUGGAGCUUUACUCCAGUUUGGUACUGGGAUCCGGUACUGCAUGUACAGGAUAGGUGGGAGGCUGAGAAUCGGUAACGCCAGUUGCCGAGGAGCCGCUGUUGGGAUACCACCCUUGCAGUAUUGGGUUUCUAACCAGCCGCCGUGACCCGGCGGUGGGACAAUGCCAGACGGGGAGUUUGACUGGGGCGGUCGCCUCCGAAAGGGUAUCGGAGGCGCCCAAAGGUUCCCUCAGGAUGGACGGAAACCAUCCAAAGAGUGCAAAGGCAGAAGGGAGCUUGACUGCGACACCGACGGGUGGAGCAGGUACGAGAGUAGGGCUUAGUGAUCCGGUGGUAUUAAGUGGGAAUGCCAUCGCUCAACGGAUAAAAGCUACCCUGGGAUAACAGGCUUAUCACUCCCAAGAGUUCACAUCGACGGAGUGGUUUGGCACCUCGAUGUCGGCUCAUCGCAUCCUGGGGCUGUAGUAGGUCCCAAGGGUUGGGCUGUUCGCCCAUUAAAGCGGUACGCGAGCUGGGUUCAGAACGUCGUGAGACAGUUCGGUCCCUAUCCGGCGUGGGCGUAGGAUAUCUGAGAGGAGCUGUCCUUAGUACGAGAGGACCGGGAUGGACGGGCCGCUGGUGCACCGGUUAGACUGCCAAGUCUAUAGCCGGGUAGCCAAGCCCGGAAGGGAUAAACGCUGAAGGCAUCUAAGCGUGAAGCCCCCCUCAAGAUGAGAUAUCCCAUCCGAAAGGAGUAAACCCCCUUGAAGACGACGAGGUUGAUAGGGCAGGGGUGGAAGUGUGGUAACACAUGGAGCUGACUGCUACUAAUAGGGUGAGGGCUUGACCU
Molecule: ribosomal RNA, 1348 nt
Filed under: metagenome
Description: bacterial LSU rRNA
Rfam family: Bacterial large subunit ribosomal RNA
Source: RNAcentral